This 580-nucleotide ribosomal RNA is filed under the name Streptomyces sp. 21W-5. RNAcentral's name for it is "bacterial SSU rRNA". It matches the Rfam family "Bacterial small subunit ribosomal RNA", at positions 284 to 874 of the family's 1533-position model. The record is from RNAcentral. Lineage: Bacteria; Bacillati; Actinomycetota; Actinomycetes; Kitasatosporales; Streptomycetaceae.
UAGCCGGCCUGAGAGGGUGACCGGCCACACUGGGACUGAGACACGGCCCAGACUCCUACGGGAGGCAGCAGUGGGGAAUAUUGCACAAUGGGCGAAAGCCUGAUGCAGCGACGCCGCGUGAGGGAUGACGGCCUUCGGGUUGUAAACCUCUUUCAGCAGGGAAGAAGCGAAAGUGACGGUACCUGCAGAAGAAGCGCCGGCUAACUACGUGCCAGCAGCCGCGGUAAUACGUAGGGCGCAAGCGUUGUCCGGAAUUAUUGGGCGUAAAGAGCUCGUAGGCGGUUUGUCGCGUCUGCUGUGAAAGCCCGGGGCUCAACCCCGGGUCUGCAGUGGGUACGGGCAGACUAGAGUGCAGUAGGGGAGACUGGAAUUCCUGGUGUAGCGGUGAAAUGCGCAGAUAUCAGGAGGAACACCGAUGGCGAAGGCAGGUCUCUGGGCUGUAACUGACGCUGAGGAGCGAAAGCAUGGGGAGCGAACAGGAUUAGAUACCCUGGUAGUCCAUGCCGUAAACGUUGGGCACUAGGUGUGGGGGACAUUCCACGUUUUCCGCGCCGUAGCUAACGCAUUAAGUGCCCCGCCU